Molecule: ribosomal RNA, 402 nt
Filed under: Triticum aestivum (bread wheat)
Lineage: Eukaryota; Viridiplantae; Streptophyta; Magnoliopsida; Poales; Poaceae
Description: partial small subunit ribosomal RNA
Source: RNAcentral
AUGAAGCGCCUGCUCAGGCGGCUCUCCCGCAUCGCCGCGGCAGACGCCUGCGCCGCCGCCGCGUACAAGCCACUCCGGCCCGACGCGGCCGCGAAGGCCUCCUCCUCCUCGUUCUUCGGCGCGCGGAGGCUCGGCCGUGGCGCACGGGUGCCGGAGGGGCACGUGCCGGUGUGCGUUGGCGAGGAGGGCGGCCCCGUCGAGCGCUUCGCCGUGCGGGCCGAGCUGCUGGGCCAGCCGGCGUUCAAGGCCCUGCUCCGGCGCGCCGCGCAGGAGUACGGCUACGGACACCCGGGCGCGGUCCGCAUCCCCUGCGCCGUCGCCAACUUCCGCCGCCUCCUCCUCGGCCUCUCCGACCCCGGCUGCCAGGCCACCGACGACGACGACGCCGCGCUCUACUACUAG